ACGGGUGAGUAACGCGUGGGAACAUACCUCUUGGUUCGGAACAACACAGGGAAACUUGUGCUAAUACCGGAUAAGCCCUUACGGGGAAAGAUUUAUCGCCGAGAGAUUGGCCCGCGUCUGAUUAGCUAGUUGGUGGGGUAAAGGCCUACCAAGGCGACGAUCAGUAGCUGGUCUGAGAGGAUGAUCAGCCACAUUGGGACUGAGACACGGCCCAAACUCCUACGGGAGGCAGCAGUGGGGAAUAUUGGGCAAUGGGCGCAAGCCUGAUCCAGCCAUGCCGCGUGAGUGAUGAAGGCCCUAGGGUUGUAAAGCUCUUUUGUACGGGAAGAUAAUGACGGUACCGUAAGAAUAAGCCCCGGCUAACUUCGUGCCAGCAGCCGCGGUAAUACGAAGGGGGCUAGCGUUGCUCGGAAUCACUGGGCGUAAAGGGUGCGUAGGCGGGUUUUUAAGUCAGAGGUGAAAUCCUGGAGCUCAACUCCAGAACUGCCUUUGAUACUGAAAGUCUUGAGUAUGGGAGAGGUGAGUGGAACUGCGAGUGUAGAGGUGAAAUUCGUAGA
RNAcentral lists this ribosomal RNA (557 nucleotides) under uncultured bacterium. Its description in RNAcentral is "bacterial SSU rRNA". It matches the Rfam family "Bacterial small subunit ribosomal RNA", at positions 102 to 694 of the family's 1533-position model. The record is from RNAcentral.